UCCGGUUGUGGUUUAAGUUCUUAUACUCAAUCAUACACAUGACAUCAAGUCAUAUUCGACUCCAAACCACUAACCAACCUUCUUCUUGCUUCUCAAAGAUUUCAUGGUGUAGCCAAAGUCUGUAUGAGUCUUUGGCUUUGUGUCUUCUAACAAGGAUACAAUUCUUACGCCUUUAAGAUCCAGUUGCAGUUUAAGUUCUUAUACUCAAUCAUACACAUGACAUCAAGUCAUAUUCGACUCCAAAACACUAACCAAGCUUCUUCUAGCUUCUCAAAGCUUUCAUGGUGUAGCCAAAGUUCGUAUGAUUCUUUGGCUUUGUAUCUUCUAACAAGGAAACACUACUUAGGCUUAUAAGAUCGGGUUGCGGUUUAAGUUCUUAUACUCAAUCAUACACAUGACAUCAAGUCAUAUUCGACUCCAAAACACUAACCAACCUUCUUCUUGCUUCUCAAAGCUUUCAUGGUGUAGGCCAAGUCCGUAUGAGUCUUUGGUUUUGUUGUUCUAAUAAGGAUACAAUUCUUACGCCUUCAAGUUCAGGUUGCGGUUUUAGUUCUUAUACU
This 560-nucleotide small RNA is filed under the name Arabidopsis thaliana (thale cress). RNAcentral describes it as "ATSL267850". Lineage: Eukaryota; Viridiplantae; Streptophyta; Magnoliopsida; Brassicales; Brassicaceae. The record is from RNAcentral.